RNAcentral lists this RNase P RNA (373 nucleotides) under Micavibrio aeruginosavorus. RNAcentral's name for it is "RNase P RNA component class A". It matches the Rfam family "Bacterial RNase P class A". Rfam says of the family: Ribonuclease P (RNase P) is a ubiquitous endoribonuclease, found in archaea, bacteria and eukarya as well as chloroplasts and mitochondria. Its best characterised activity is the generation of mature 5'-ends of tRNAs by cleaving the 5'-leader elements of precursor-tRNAs. Cellular RNase Ps are ribonucleoproteins. Lineage: Bacteria; Pseudomonadati; Bdellovibrionota; Bdellovibrionia; Bdellovibrionales; Pseudobdellovibrionaceae. The record is from RNAcentral.
CCAGAAGGACGGAUGGCCGCUCCCGGCUUGUUCGGGGGAGGAAAGUCCGGGCUUCACGCAGAUACGGUGCCGGCUAAUGGCCGGGCAGGGCGACCUGACGGAUCAGUGCAACAGAAAGCAAACCGCCGAUGGCCGUAGCGAUACGGAUCAGGCAAGGGCGAAACGGUGGGGUAAGAGCCCACCACGGGACUGGCAACAGGACUGGUAAGGCAAACCCCACCGGAAGCAAGACCAAAUAGGGGCCGCGCAUAGGGCUUUCUGCGCCUUGUGGCCCGGGUUGGUUGCUUGAGGUGAUCGGUAACGAUCAUCCCAGAGGAAUGGUCAUCGCGCGGGUAACCGCGUACAGAACCCGGCUUACAGGAUUUCUGGCAUU